UUGAUCAAGCUACAAAGAGCGCAUCAUGGAUGCCUUGGUGCCAAUAGGCGAUGAAGGACGUGGCAAGCUGCGAUAAGUCACGGAGAGCGGCAAACACGCUUUGACCCGUGAAUUUCCGAAUGGGGUAACCUGAGUGGGAUAACACCUGCUCGAGCUUCUGUGAAUUCAUAGCAGAAGCAUCGUGACACCCGGUGAAGUGAAACAUCUCAGUAACCGGAGGAACAGAAAUCGAAAGAGAUUCCGUCAGUAGUGGCGAGCGAAAGCGGAACAGGCUAAACCUGCCGAUUUAUCGGUAGGGGUUGUAGGAGCCCGACGUGGUAGUGCAAAGGUUAGGUGAAGCUUCUGGAAAGCUGCGCCAUAGAGGGUGAAAGGCCCGUAACCGAAAACCAAAGCACGCCUAGGGAUUUCCUGAGUAAUACGAUGCACGUGAAACUUCGUAUGAAUCUGCGCCGACCACGGCGUAAGCCUAAAUACUCAUUGGCGACCGAUAGUGAACAAGUACCGCGAGGGAAAGGUGAAAAGAACCGCUGCGAGCGGAGUGAAAUAGUACCUGAAAUGAUGUGCUUACAAGGUGUCAAAGCUGGCGCAAGCUGGUGAUGGCGUGCCUUUUGCUUAAUGAGUCUGCGAGUUACUAUCAGUGGCAAGCCUA
This 649-nucleotide ribosomal RNA is filed under the name Verrucomicrobiota bacterium. Its description in RNAcentral is "bacterial LSU rRNA". It matches the Rfam family "Bacterial large subunit ribosomal RNA", at positions 1 to 648 of the family's 2925-position model. The record is from RNAcentral. Lineage: Bacteria; Pseudomonadati; Verrucomicrobiota.